AGAGGAAGUAAAAGUCGUAACAAGGUUUCCGUAGGUGAACCUGCGGAAGGAUCAUUAUCGAGUUUUUUGAACGGGUUGUCGCUGGCCUUUCACGAGGCAUUGUGCACGCCUGGCUCAUCCACUCUUCAACCUCUGUGCACUUACAGUAAGAAAUGGUCGAUGUCGACUUUAAUUAGUCGGUUUGAAGCCUUUCUUAUGUUUUAUUACAAACGUUUCAGUUAUAGAAUGUUUACUGUGUAUAACACAAUAUAUACAACUUUCAGCAACGGAUCUCUUGGCUCUCGCAUCGAUGAAGAACGCAGCGAAAUGCGAUAAGUAAUGUGAAUUGCAGAAUUCAGUGAAUCAUCGAAUCUUUGAACGCACCUUGCGCUCCUUGGUAUUCCUCGGAGCAUGCCUGUUUGAGUGUCAUGGAAUUCUCAAUCCCUAGAUUUUGUAACGAAGUCUAGUGGACUUGGACUUGGAGGUUGUGUCGGCUCUAGUCAGCCGACUCCUCUUAAAUGCAUUAGCGUGAAUGUUACGGAUCGCCUUCAGUGUGAUAAUUAUCUGCGCUGUGGUGUUGAAGUAUUUUGUAUUCGUGCUUAUAAUCGUCUCUUUGAGACAAUUACUUGACAAUCUGACCUCAAAUCAGGUAGGACUACCCGCUGAACUUAAGCAUAUC
RNAcentral lists this ribosomal RNA (658 nucleotides) under Phanerochaete sp. HHB-18100. RNAcentral describes it as "eukaryotic LSU rRNA". The stretch from base 255 to 408 matches the Rfam family "5.8S ribosomal RNA". Lineage: Eukaryota; Fungi; Basidiomycota; Agaricomycetes; Polyporales; Phanerochaetaceae. The record is from RNAcentral.